Molecule: ribosomal RNA, 501 nt
Filed under: Pseudocercospora schizolobii
Lineage: Eukaryota; Fungi; Ascomycota; Dothideomycetes; Mycosphaerellales; Mycosphaerellaceae
Description: eukaryotic LSU rRNA
Rfam family: 5.8S ribosomal RNA (bases 166-319)
Source: RNAcentral
GCGGAGGGAUCAUUACUGAGUGAGGGCUCACGCCCGACCUCCAACCCUUUGUGAACCAAACUUGUUGCUUCGGGGGCGACCCUGCCGACGACUCCGUCGCCGGGCGCCCCCGGAGGUCUUCUAAACACUGCAUCUUUGCGUCGGAGUUUAAAACAAAUUAAACAAAACUUUCAACAACGGAUCUCUUGGUUCUGGCAUCGAUGAAGAACGCAGCGAAAUGCGAUAAGUAAUGUGAAUUGCAGAAUUCAGUGAAUCAUCGAAUCUUUGAACGCACAUUGCGCCCUUUGGUAUUCCGAAGGGCAUGCCUGUUCGAGCGUCAUUUCACCACUCAAGCCUGGCUUGGUAUUGGGCGUCGCGGUGUUCCGCGCGCCUUAAAGUCUCCGGCUGAGCUGUCCGUCUCUAAGCGUUGUGGAUUUUUCAAUUCGCUUCGGAGUGCGGGUGGCCGCGGCCGUUAAAUCUUUAUUCAAAGGUUGACCUCGGAUCAGGUAGGGAUACCCGCUG